This 1300-nucleotide ribosomal RNA is filed under the name uncultured bacterium. RNAcentral describes it as "partial 16S ribosomal RNA". It matches the Rfam family "Bacterial small subunit ribosomal RNA", at positions 86 to 1399 of the family's 1533-position model. The record is from RNAcentral.
UGUGACUGAAUGGGGGACGGGUGAUUAACGAUUGGGCCACCCGCCUCAGACCGGGGGAUAACGUUUACAAAUGUCUGCUAAUACCGCAUACCCACACAUCAUGGGAUGAUGCAGUGUGAAAAAACUCCGGCGGCCUGAAAUGGACCCCCGUCUGAUUCUCUAGAUGGUGGGGCAACGGCCUACCCAGGCAACGAUCAGGAUCCCACCUGAUAGGGAGACCGGCCCCAUUGCGACUGACACACGGUCCCAACUCCUACGGGAGGCACCAGUGGGGAAUAUUGCCCAAGGGGGGAAAUCUUGAUGCAGGGACCCCGCGUGAGGAAAGAAUUAUUUGGGUAGGUAAAUUUCUUUCACCAGGGAAGAAAAUGACGGUCCCUGAUUAAGAAGCCCCGGUUAAUUACGUGCCACCACCCGCGGUAAUACGUAGGGGCCAAGCUUUUUCCGGAUUUAUUGGGUGUAAAGGGAGGGUAGACGCAUGUCCAAGUAUGAAGUGAAAGCCCGGGGUUCAACCCCGGGACUCAUUUGGAAACUGUGUAUCUAGAGUUCCGGAGAGGUAAGCGGAAUUCCCAGUGUAGCGGUGAAAUGGGUAGAUAUUAGGAGGAACACCAGUGGGGAAGGCGGCUUACUGGACGAUCCACUGACGUUGAGGCUGGAAAGCGUGGGGAGCAACCAGGAUUAGAUCCCCUGGUAUUCCACCCCGUAAACGAUGAAUACUAGGUGUUGGCAGGUAAGACCUGUCGGUGCAGCAGGUAACUCAAUAAGUAUUCCACCUGGGGAGUACGUUCGCGAGAAUGAAAAUCAAAGGAACUGACGGGGACCCGCACAAGCGGUGGAGCAUGUGGUUUAAUUAGAAGCAACGAGAAGAACCUUUCCAAGUUCUGACAUCCGGAGGACAGAGAAUAUAAUGUCCUUUAUCUUGGGAGCAUCGGCGACAGGUGGUGCAUGGUGGUUGUCAGCUGGGUUUCAGUGACGAUGGGUCAAGUCCCCCUAUGAGCUCAACCCCUAUUCCCAGUAGCCAGCAUCUGGGACGGCCACUAUGUGGAGAUCGCCAGGGGCACCAUGGAGGAAGGCGGGGAUGAUGUCAAAUCAUCCUGCCCGUUAUGAGUGGGGCUACACACGUGCUAACAAUGGCGCUAAACAAAGGGAAGCGAGACCGCGAGGUGGAGCAAAUCGUAAAAAUACCGUCCCAGUUUCGGAUCUGUCGUGGGCAACUUGAGAACAAGAAGCUGGAAUCGCUAGUAAUGGCAGAUCAGAAUGAAGCGGUGAACAAGUUCCCGGCUUUAGCACACACCGCCCGUCA